RNAcentral lists this transfer RNA (60 nucleotides) under Escherichia coli N1. RNAcentral's name for it is "partial tRNA-OTHER". It matches the Rfam family "tRNA", at positions 17 to 71 of the family's 71-position model. From Rfam's summary of the family: Transfer RNA (tRNA) molecules are approximately 80 nucleotides in length. The record is from RNAcentral. RNAcentral also lists the same sequence under 1 other name. Lineage: Bacteria; Pseudomonadati; Pseudomonadota; Gammaproteobacteria; Enterobacterales; Enterobacteriaceae.
GGAUAGAGUACUCGGCUACGAACCGAGCGGUCGGAGGUUCGAAUCCUCCCGGAUGCACCA